Pseudoalteromonas citrea DSM 8771 is the source of this 83-nucleotide non-coding RNA. The record is from Rfam. Lineage: Bacteria; Pseudomonadati; Pseudomonadota; Gammaproteobacteria; Alteromonadales; Pseudoalteromonadaceae.
UAAAUCGCGAGAGAUAGUCUGGAGGAAGCCGCUAGCAAAUCUGUGAGCUGAUGAACAAAAACAUCAUAUGAGGCGUAGGCUGG